Long non-coding RNA from Myotis lucifugus (little brown bat), 748 nucleotides. RefSeq lists it as uncharacterized. NCBI's taxonomy places the organism in Eukaryota, Metazoa, Chordata, Mammalia, Chiroptera, Vespertilionidae. The transcript is spliced from 2 exons. The record is from RefSeq and is a predicted model, not a curated record.
GCUGGACUUUCACCUGGAGGCUGGGCUGGGGGAGAAUCUGCUUACUCACGUUGUGGGCAGUGGGUGGCAGGACAGAGGCUCCAGCUUUUGGCUGGGGCUGCGGCGUUCCCUACGCCGACAUCAGUGCUUUGCUAUUGGAGCUUCUCCAGCAGGCCUGCUUACUUCCUCCAGCCCCAGGAGAGUCUGCAGUCUGGUAAGGAGUUUUAGUGACCACAGGACAUCCCAGCAAGUCACAGAUCUGUCCCAACCUCCCGGUGCAGGCGCUGCAGGUCCGCCACCGCGCAGCAGGCGGCGCCGGGCUCGCCUCCUCCGCCUCCAGGGCCGCGCGCCGUGGGCCCGGUCCCGCGCCGUAGGCCCUUCCGCGCGCCGGCGGCCGCGAUGGCGGACGUGUCCGAGAGGAAGCUGCAGCUGUCCGUGCUGUUGGCCUUCGCCUCCGGGGUGCUCGUGGGCUGGCAGGCGAACCGGCUGCGGAGGCGCUACCUGGACUGGAGGAAGCGGAGGCUGCAGGACAAGCUGGCGGUGAUGCAGAAGAAACUGGACCUGGCCUGAGCCCCGCGGGCCCCGCCGCUCCCGCGCGCCCCCCUCGCCGCGCGCCCACCUCGCCUUGCCCGCGCGGGGCCUCCAGCCUGAGCCGGCCUCCUCCGCAGUGCCCAGUGCCGCUUGUCGAAGAUGGAUAGAAAUCAUCUGUCCUUACACUUUAUGAGUCAAUUUUAUUUUUAAAAUAAAAUGUUAAACAUCUUUGAAACUU